RNAcentral lists this long non-coding RNA (395 nucleotides) under Physcomitrium patens. Its description in RNAcentral is "long non-coding RNA (PPAT_LNC005064)". The record is from RNAcentral. Lineage: Eukaryota; Viridiplantae; Streptophyta; Bryopsida; Funariales; Funariaceae.
AAAUACAGUUACCGAUUGAAAUUCUCAAGAUAUCUUCAUUGAGAUUAUGAUUGCAACAGAAGUAUAUUAGAUGAGUGUCAAGAUCAAUGCUUCGAGAUUGCUGUAGAUGGCAGCUAUGCACUUCUGGUUCUGUCCCUGUGCCAUGCAACGAUCAAAUCUGCCUGAAAUCAAAGUUUCUACACAAAACGACUGAAACUGCAGCUCAUGUUUCUACACAAAACUUUUCUGCAUUUGCUGCAGUGGGAUUGUGCAGAGUAUCAUUUUGCUUACUCUUCAACAGCAGUUUGUUUGAUGACAUCUGGAUGCGUGCUAUUGGGAUAUUUGUGUAAUCAUUCGCACUCAUUUUGAACGUAGACACUGAUGUGCGGAUGUCAUUAUUGGUAAAUGCCAUGUGU